GCGGGGGUGCCCGAGCUAGGUCAAAGGGGGUAGGCUCAGGACCAUUAGGUGAGACCCCUACUGGAGUAGUCCUGCGCGGGUUCAAAUCCCGCCCCCCGCA
Molecule: transfer RNA, 100 nt
Filed under: Metallosphaera sedula DSM 5348
Lineage: Archaea; Thermoproteati; Thermoproteota; Thermoprotei; Sulfolobales; Sulfolobaceae
Rfam family: tRNA
About the family: Transfer RNA (tRNA) molecules are approximately 80 nucleotides in length. Their secondary structure includes four short double-helical elements and three loops (D, anti-codon, and T loops).
Source: Rfam by way of RNAcentral